UAAGAGGUCUUGCCUGCCCUGUGACUUUAUCGUUUAACGGCCGCGGUAUUUUGACCGUGCGAAGGUAGCGCAAUCACUUGUCUCUUAAAUGGGGACCUGUAUGAAUGGCACAACGAGGGUUUAACUGUCUCCUUUCCCAAGUUAAUGAAAUUGAUCUCCCCGUGCAGAAGCGGGGAUACAGACAUAAGACGAGAAGACCCUAUGGAGCUUUAGGCGACAAGCAGACCGUACCAAACAACCCUGAUAAAGGAAUAAAACAUGCGUAAACCUGCCCUAAUGCCUUUGGUUGGGGCGACCGCGGGGAAACAAAAAACCCCCAUGUGGAAUGGGACUAACCGUCCUCCAAAAAAGAGCCCCCGCUCUAAAAAACAGAACAUCUGACCUUAAGAUCCGGCAAAGCCGAUCAACGAACCGAGUUACCCUAGGGAUAACAGCGCAAUCCUCUUUCAGAGCUCAUAUCGACAAGAGGGUUUACGACCUCGAUGUUGGAUCAGGAUAUCCUAAUGGUGUAGCAGCUAUUAAGGG
Molecule: ribosomal RNA, 525 nt
Filed under: Sufflamen albicaudatum (bluethroat triggerfish)
Lineage: Eukaryota; Metazoa; Chordata; Actinopteri; Tetraodontiformes; Balistidae
Description: partial 16S ribosomal RNA
Rfam family: Bacterial large subunit ribosomal RNA
Source: RNAcentral